Molecule: long non-coding RNA, 392 nt
Organism: Formica exsecta
Lineage: Eukaryota; Metazoa; Arthropoda; Insecta; Hymenoptera; Formicidae
Exons: 3
Source: RefSeq, a predicted model, not a curated record
AAUGGAUGAUUCUCAAUUAAUUAUUUCUAAAGAUAGUUUAGAGCUAAUAUCAUUUGAAUCAUUGUUUCCAUCUAUGAAACAGGUAUAUGGCACACAACCAGAAUAUCCAAAACGAAAUGAUAUCCUUCUUUAUAAAAGGUUUGUUCUAAUAGGACGCAAUGCAACAUAUACCACAGAUAAUAGUAAAUUGCGUUCAAAAUUAAUUCAACAAGCAUCCUUUCCCGAAUCUACGGCUACUGUUAUUACACUACCAAGUAUUAAAAAUGCCAGUAUAAAUAUAUAUGAACAAUAUGUGAAAAGAGCCACGGCGGUUCGAUACCAAAUUCAAAUGAUAUGAAUUUAUAUGAAAUUUAUGCUACUCAGUAUAAAUUGCUUAUGAAAGAGAUGUGCUC